GAGUUUGAUCGUGGCUCAGGAUGAACGCUGGCGGCGUGCCUAAUACAUGCAAGUAGAACGCUGAAGCUUGGUGCUUGCACCGAGCGGAUGAGUUGCGAACGGGUGAGUAACGCGUAGGUAACCUGCCUGGGUAGCGGGGAUAACUAUUGGAAACGAUAGCUAAUACCGCAUAACAGUAGAUAUUGCAUGAUAUCUGCUUGAAAGGUGCAAUUGCAUCACUACCAGAUGGACCUGCGUUGUAUUAGCUAGUUGGUGAGGUAACGGCUCACCAAGGCGACGAUACAUAGCCGACCUGAGAGGGUGAUCGGCCACACUGGGACUGAGACACGGCCCAGACUCCUACGGGAGGCAGCAGUAGGGAAUCUUCGGCAAUGGGGGGAACCCUGACCGAGCAACGCCGCGUGAGUGAAGAAGGUUUUCGGAUCGUAAAGCUCUGUUGUAAGAGAAGAACGAGUGUGAGAGUGGAAAGUUCACACUGUGACGGUAUCUUACCAGAAAGGGACGG
Molecule: ribosomal RNA, 505 nt
Filed under: uncultured microorganism
Description: bacterial SSU rRNA
Rfam family: Bacterial small subunit ribosomal RNA
Source: RNAcentral